UUGGGGUUGCGGACAUAUCAUAACGAAGAGGUAUCGUAAUUGAAGAGGUUUGGAAAGACCCACCACAGAAGGUAAUAGUCCUGUAUGUUAAACGAGAAGACUUUAGAUAUGAUCCAGAGUACCACAGGACACGUGAAACCCUGUGGGAAGCAGGAGGGACCACCCUCCAAGGCUAAAUACUACCUAGUGACCGAUAGCGUAUAGUACCGUGAGGGAAAGGUGAAAAGAACCCCGGGAGGGGAGUGAAAUAGAACCUGAAACCCUGCACUUACAAGCUGUGGAAGCACAUUUAUUGUGUGACCGCGUACUUUUUGUAGAACGGGCCAACGAGUUACGUUCAGUAGCAAGGUUAAGCACUUAAGGUGCGGAGACGUAGCGAAAGCGAGUUUUAACUGAGCGUUCAGUUACUUGACGUAGUCGCGAAACCGGGCGACCUACCCAGGAGCAGGAUGAUGCGAACGUAAUAUUUCGUGGAGGUCCGAACGCACAAGCGUUGAAAAGCUCGGGGAUGACUUGUGGGUAGCGGUGAAAUUCCAAUCGAGCCCGGAGAUAGCUGGUUCUCCCCGAAAUAGCUUUAGGGCUAGCCUCAAGGUGAGAGAUACGGAGGUAGAGCACUGAAUGUCCUAGGGGGUAUUGCACCUACCGAAGACUAUCAAACUCCGAAUGCCGUCAUCUUAUACUUGGGAGUCAGACUGUGGGUGAUAAGAUUCAUAGUCGAAAGGGCAACAGCCCAGAUCGUCAGCUAAGGUCCCUAAAUGUAAGUUAAGUGGUAAAGGAUGUGGGAUUGCACAGACAACCAGGAUGUUGGCUUAGAAGCAGCCACUCAUUCAAAGAGUGCGUAAUAGCUCACUGGUCGAGUGAUCCUGCGCCGAAGAUUUCCGGGGCUAAAACUUACUACCGAAGCUACGGCAUCAGUAAUGA
This 921-nucleotide ribosomal RNA is filed under the name Clostridioides difficile. Its description in RNAcentral is "bacterial LSU rRNA". It matches the Rfam family "Bacterial large subunit ribosomal RNA", at positions 292 to 1217 of the family's 2925-position model. Lineage: Bacteria; Bacillati; Bacillota; Clostridia; Peptostreptococcales; Peptostreptococcaceae. The record is from RNAcentral.